UAGCUAGUUGGUGGGGUAAGGGCCUACCAAGGCGACGAUCGGUAGCUGGUCUGAGAGGAUGGCCAGCCACACUGGAACUGAGACACGGUCCAGACUCCUACGGGAGGCAGCAGUGGGGAAUAUUGGACAAUGGGGGCAACCCUGAUCCAGCAAUGCCGCGUGUGUGAAGAAGGCCUGAGGGUUGUAAAGCACUUUCAGUGGGGAGGAGGGUAUUUAGGUUAAGAGCUAGGAUACUGGACGUUACCCACAGAAGAAGCACCGGCUAACUCCGUGCCAGCAGCCGCGGUAAUACGGAGGGUGCGAGCGUUAAUCGGAAUUACUGGGCGUAAAGGGUGCGUAGGUGGUUAUUUAAGUUAUGUGUAAAAUCCCUGGGCUUAACCUGGGCAGGUCAUAUAAAACUGGGUAACUCGAGUAUGGGAGAGGGUAGUGGAAUUUCCGGUGUAGCGGUGAAAUGCGUAGAGAUCGGAAGGAACACCAGUGGCGAAGGCGGCUACCUGGCCUAAUACUGACACUGAGGCACGAAAGCGUGGGGAGCAAACAGGAUUAGAUACUCUGGUAGUCCACGCUGUAAACGAUGUCAACUAGCUGUUGGAUAUAUGAAUAUAUUUAGUGGCGC
RNAcentral lists this ribosomal RNA (616 nucleotides) under uncultured Legionella sp. RNAcentral's name for it is "bacterial SSU rRNA". It matches the Rfam family "Bacterial small subunit ribosomal RNA", at positions 242 to 849 of the family's 1533-position model. Lineage: Bacteria; Pseudomonadati; Pseudomonadota; Gammaproteobacteria; Legionellales; Legionellaceae. The record is from RNAcentral.